AGCCCAAACCGGGAGUUGAACCCGGGUUUAUCGCUUAGAAGGCGAUCGUUCUAUCCGUUAAACUAUAAGGGC
This 72-nucleotide transfer RNA is filed under the name Hyperionvirus sp. RNAcentral describes it as "tRNA-Arg". The record is from RNAcentral. Lineage: Varidnaviria; Bamfordvirae; Nucleocytoviricota; Megaviricetes; Imitervirales; Mimiviridae.